This 225-nucleotide long non-coding RNA is filed under the name Malus domestica (apple). RNAcentral describes it as "long non-coding RNA (MDOM_LNC008180)". The record is from RNAcentral. Lineage: Eukaryota; Viridiplantae; Streptophyta; Magnoliopsida; Rosales; Rosaceae.
GUGUAACAAUGCAAUAUUUAAAAUGUAACUUAUUUACAACAUGGCAAGCAAAGCAUAGUUCCAUAUAAAAACAUUUCUAAAAAUCAUAAAGUUUAUAUAUAUAUAUAUAUACACACACACACACACUAUAAAAAGGAAAAAGACCCACUCACCUAACGUCCGCACUACAACUCCCUAGCAUGAAUAUCGAGGCAUCAUGAACGAUCGUAGAUUAGAACAAAUAUU